Vicia villosa (hairy vetch) is the source of this 798-nucleotide long non-coding RNA. RefSeq lists it as uncharacterized. The record is from RefSeq and is a predicted model, not a curated record. NCBI's taxonomy places the organism in Eukaryota, Viridiplantae, Streptophyta, Magnoliopsida, Fabales, Fabaceae. The transcript is spliced from 4 exons.
UUAGCGUAAAACGAGUAAUUACUUCAGCGCUAUAUAGUUUCAGCCGUUCCCCUUCUUUAGCUUAAAAGUGAAAAUUCAGUAAAAAAUCAGAGCGCUAAAAGUGAAAAAAUUUCCCUCCCAAACUCAUCAAAACCUUCACCGUUUGAUUUUUCAGAAGCUAAACCAUAGACCGUCCAGUGUAUCUUUUCCCUAACCCCAACCCUAACCCUUUCUUCCCUUCACCUUCUUCUCAAACCCUUCAACUUGCAACUCAGAAUUAGAAUUUUAGGGUUUCAUGGAAUCAUCUCAAUCAAACCUUUGAAGUAAGUCUUUGACGGCGAUAUUGAUUCCCCUUAGAGCUGCAAGGGUCUUAACACGCUCUGAACGAAAACUCAAAUAUAGAGGAUUUUUCAUUUUCAAGUUGUGUAUGAUUCGUCUUUUUGUCGCCCCGGAAUCUGUAGAUUCAUCCAAAAUAAUUACUAUUGUUGAUGUCCAUCAGUUUUUCGACGACAUUAAGAAUAAGCGUCGCCGUAUAAAGGAAAUCACAAAACUAAAAAAAGGCAUGCAGCUGAGGUCGGACUAAUAAUCAAAUCAUGAAUGAUGAAGAGACGUAGAUGUGAAAAUGUAGAUGUUUAAGUAUACUUUUAAAGAUUCAAGAUGUUAUUUUAAUUAUGAACGAUGAUUGAUAAGAUGAUAUGUAUAUUAAAGAUGUUUUGUUGAUUGUAAAUCAUGAUUGACAUUGAGAUAUGUAAAUUGAAAGAUCAUUUAAAAUUUGUAUAUGAAUAGUUAUAUAAAAAAUUGUGAAUGAUAACAUUUAUU